UCGCUGGAACAGAAAUUUUUAAACGCUUUAUCAGUUGUAUACAUAAUUAAAACUUCCAAAUAAUCUUACAAUAUAAUGUAUUUAUAUUCAAUUAGUCUUAUUUACUAAAAUUGUUGUUACAGUGAAAAGAGAAAUCGAUUCUUUCCCGGAAACUUUAUAAGCAAACUUAAGGAGCACACCAGUUCAAUAAGUAAUUCGACCUCGAUUACAAUGAUAUUCAUUAACUUUGUUGUAAGUUGCGGUUUACAAUUGAAAUAGCACGAAACAGGUGCUCCACUUUCGGUUCUCUUCUCUUUUCUCUUUUCCUCAAGGCAAUCCUUCUAUUUUAUUUUAUUUCAAGAAAGUAUCGUUAUUGUUGCAUCUCUCUAAUUUUAGAUCUGAAUAUUUUCACCAUUUCAUUCAUCGCAAUUAUUGUUUCGUCAACAGCUUCUCUGUUUUCAAAUCAUAUCGAAAAUGUUUCCAUAAUAUUCAUGAUUGCUUGAAUACACAAGGACAUGUUUGCGUCGCAAUGCAAUUACGCGACGGAAUAGAGGCGUUGGGACAACUUUUCCGGAAACAUCGAUUCGUAAAUCAAUUACACAAUCUGAUUACGCUUCGAAAUUAUUGGCGUCUGACUCAGCGGCGUGCGAUUGAUUGUUUUCUUGUUCCGCGUGUUUGAAAGUGAGAAAAAACUGGAGGAACAAGAAACAGCGGGAAGAAUGAUUCGCAUGGCGAACGUGACGAUUGAUGUGAACGAACCACUUUGAAAUACCAAUAAAGGAGACAUUGAAAGGUACGAUGAUGGAUCAUCGAGGGUCACGUGAAGUUUCAAGUAUCAGGCAACAUUGGUGAAUUAUUGAAGGAAUUAACCCAUUCGUAACCAUGAUCCAAAUAUGAAGUACAUCAAGUAAUUUAACUUUGUAAUGGGAAAUGUUCCAAGGUGUUAGAAAUGAAGGCCUUUACCAUAUAUACCUAUAAAAAAAAAAAA
Non-coding RNA from Osmia lignaria (orchard mason bee), 967 nucleotides. Lineage: Eukaryota; Metazoa; Arthropoda; Insecta; Hymenoptera; Megachilidae. The record is from RefSeq and is a predicted model, not a curated record.